AACGAACGCUGGCGGCAGGCUUAACACAUGCAAGUCGAGCGCCCCGCAAGGGGAGCGGCAGACGGGUGAGUAACGCGUGGGAAUCUACCGUACCCUACGGAAUAGCUCCGGGAAACUGGAAUUAAUACCGUAUACGCCCUACGGGGGAAAGAUUUAUCGGGGUAUGAUGAGCCCGCGUUGGAUUGGCUAGUUGGUGGGGUAAAGGCCUUCCAAGGCGACGAUCCAUAGCUGGUCUGAGAGGAUGAUCAGCCACAUUGGGACUGAGACACGGCCCAAACUCCUACGGGAGGCAGCAGUGGGGAAUAUUGGACAAUGGGCGCAAGCCUGAUCCAGCCAUGCCGCGUGAGUGAUGAAGGUCUUAGGAUUGUAAAGCUCUUUCACCGAUGAAGAUAAUGACGGUAGUCGGAGAAGAAGCCCCGGCUAACUACGUGCCAGCCGCCGCAGUAA
This 447-nucleotide ribosomal RNA is filed under the name uncultured bacterium. Its description in RNAcentral is "partial 16S ribosomal RNA". It matches the Rfam family "Bacterial small subunit ribosomal RNA", at positions 29 to 523 of the family's 1533-position model. The record is from RNAcentral.